UGGCAAGUUUAUUUGCCAGCAGCCGCGGUAAUUCCAGCUCCAAUAGCGUAUAUUAAAGUUGUUGUGGUUAAAAAGCUCGUAGUAGAACCUUGGGCCUGGCUGGCCGGUCCGCCUCACCGCGUGCACUGGUCCGGCCGGGCCUUUCCCCCUGUGGAACCUCAUGCCCUUCACUGGGUGUGUGGGAAAACAGGACUUUUACUUUGAAAAAAUUAGAGUGCUCCAGGCAGGCCUAUGCUCGAAUACAUUAGCAUGGAAUAAUAGAAUAGGACGUGUGGUUCUAUUUUGUUGGUUUCUAGGACCGCCGUAAUGAUUAAUAGGGACAGUCGGGGGCAUCAGUAUUCAAUUGUCAGAGGUGAAAUUCUUGGAUUUAUUGAAGACUAACUACUGCGAAAGCAUUUGCCAAGGAUGUUUUCAUUUAUCAGGAACGAAAGUUAGGGGAUCGAAGACG
RNAcentral lists this ribosomal RNA (448 nucleotides) under Colletotrichum sp. RNAcentral describes it as "SSU rRNA". It matches the Rfam family "Eukaryotic small subunit ribosomal RNA", at positions 553 to 1006 of the family's 1831-position model. Lineage: Eukaryota; Fungi; Ascomycota; Sordariomycetes; Glomerellales; Glomerellaceae. The record is from RNAcentral.